RNAcentral lists this ribosomal RNA (301 nucleotides) under uncultured bacterium. RNAcentral's name for it is "partial 16S ribosomal RNA". It matches the Rfam family "Bacterial small subunit ribosomal RNA", at positions 509 to 807 of the family's 1533-position model. The record is from RNAcentral.
CAGUCGCCACGGGAAUACGUAGGGUGCAAGCGUUAAUCGGAAUUACUGGGCGUAAAGCGUGCGCAGGCGGUUCGGAAAGAAAGGUGUGAAAUCCCAGGGCUUAACCUUGGAACUGCACUUUUAACUACCGGGCUAGAGUGUGUCAGAGGGGGGUGGAAUUCCGCGUGUAGCAGUGAAAUGCGUAGAGAUGCGGAGGAACACCGAUGGCGAAGGCAGCCCCCUGGGAUAACACUGACGCUCAUGCACGAAAGCGUGGGGAGCAAACAGGAUUAGAUACCCGCGUAGUCCCUGUCUCUUAUAC